RNAcentral lists this ribosomal RNA (550 nucleotides) under uncultured bacterium. Its description in RNAcentral is "bacterial SSU rRNA". It matches the Rfam family "Bacterial small subunit ribosomal RNA", at positions 355 to 896 of the family's 1533-position model. The record is from RNAcentral.
UAGGGAAUCUUCGGCAAUGGACGGAAGUCUGACCGAGCAACGCCGCGUGAGUGAAGAAGGUUUUCGGAUCGUAAAGCUCUGUUGUAAGAGAAGAACGAGUGUGAGAGUGGAAAGUUCACACUGUGACGGUAUCUUACCAGAAAGGGACGGCUAACUACGUGCCAGCAGCCGCGGUAAUACGUAGGUCCCGAGCGUUGUCCGGAUUUAUUGGGCGUAAAGCGAGCGCAGGCGGUUAGAUAAGUCUGAAGUUAAAGGCUGUGGCUUAACCAUAGUAGGCUUUGGAAACUGUCUAACUUGAGUGCAAAAGGGGAGAGUGGAAUUCCAUGUGUAGCGGUGAAAUGCGUAGAUAUAUGGAGGAACACCGGUGGCGAAAGCGGCUCUCUGGCUUGUAACUGACGCUGAGGCUCGAAAGCGUGGGGAGCAAACAGGAUUAGAUACCCUGGUAGUCCACGCCGUAAACGAUGAGUGCUAGGUGUUAGACCCUUUCCGGGGUUUAGUGCCGCAGCUAACGCAUUAAGCACUCCGCCUGGGGAGUACGACCGCAAGGUUG